RNAcentral lists this ribosomal RNA (512 nucleotides) under Aeshna serrata. RNAcentral describes it as "partial 16S rRNA". It matches the Rfam family "Bacterial large subunit ribosomal RNA", at positions 1830 to 2597 of the family's 2925-position model. The record is from RNAcentral. Lineage: Eukaryota; Metazoa; Arthropoda; Insecta; Odonata; Aeshnidae.
GUCUUCUUGUUAUGUUUAGGAAGUCUGGCCUGCCCAGUGAAAAUAAAUUAACGGCCGCGGUAUACUGGCCGUGCAAAGGUAGCAUAAUCAUUAGUCUUUUAAUAGAGGGCUGGUAUGAAGGGUUUAACGAGGUGUUGACUGUCUCAUUUAAUUUGAAUUUAGAAUUUAAUUUUUUAGUUAAAAAGCUAAAAUUUUAUUGGAAGACGAGAAGACCCUAUAGAGCUUUAUAUUUUUACUAUUAAUUUAUUAUAGAUUAUUAUUAUUUAUUAUUGGUAUAAAAUAUUUUGUUGGGGUGACAAAAAUAUAUAAAUAACUUUUUUAUUUCAUUUACAUUGAUAUAUGAAUAUUAGAUCCAAUCUUAUUGAUUGUUAGAUUAAGUUACCUUAGGGAUAACAGCGUAAUCCCUCUCCAGAGUUCAUAUUUACAGAGGGGCUUGCGACCUCGAUGUUGGAUUAAGAUAAUAAUUAGGUGUAGCCGCUUAAUUAAUAGGUCUGUUCGACCUUUAAAUUCUU